CAUAAAUAUGGUGCCUAUAGAAAUAUAGGAGAAUUGGGAAGCAACGGUGCGAAUCCGGCGCAACAGCCAUUACUGUAAUUGACAAAGAGAGGAACCAAUGCCAUUGGGACUGCUGUUCUGAGAAGGCGUUCUUCUUCGGUGAAGCCGUAAGUCAUAAGCCAGGAAACCAGCCAUGUUUGUU
RNAcentral lists this non-coding RNA (181 nucleotides) under Hydrogeniiclostridium mannosilyticum. The record is from RNAcentral. Lineage: Bacteria; Bacillati; Bacillota; Clostridia; Eubacteriales; Acutalibacteraceae.